AUUCCAGCUCCAAGAGCGUAUAUUAAAGUUGUUGCAGUUAAAAAGCUCGUAGUUGGAUUUCUGGUACAACGCGCCUGGCCCGCUUUUGUGAGUGCCGGUGCGCGUUUGCCAUCCUUCUAGAAAACGUCUCUACUCGGGCAACUGGGCCGGAUUCGCGAUCUAGAUCUUUUACUUUGAAAAAAUUAGAGUGUUUAAAGCAGGCUAUUGCCUUGAAUACAUUAGCAUGGAAUAAUAAUCUAGGACUUCGGUUCUAUUUUGUUGGUUCUUAGUACUGAAGUAAUGAUUGAUAGGGAUAGUUGGGGGUGCUAGUAUUGGCCGGCCAGAGGUGAAAUUCUUGGAUUCGGUCAAGACUAACUUAUGCGAAAGCAUUCACCAAGGAUGUCUUCAUUA
This 390-nucleotide ribosomal RNA is filed under the name Cryothecomonas sp. Its description in RNAcentral is "partial small subunit ribosomal RNA". It matches the Rfam family "Eukaryotic small subunit ribosomal RNA", at positions 582 to 975 of the family's 1831-position model. Lineage: Eukaryota; Cercozoa; Thecofilosea; Cryomonadida; Protaspidae. The record is from RNAcentral.